RNAcentral lists this ribosomal RNA (1436 nucleotides) under uncultured organism. Its description in RNAcentral is "partial small subunit ribosomal RNA". It matches the Rfam family "Bacterial small subunit ribosomal RNA". The record is from RNAcentral.
GCGGCGUGCUUAACACAUGCAAGUCGAACGGAAAGGCCCUGCUUUUGUGGGGUGCUCGAGUGGCGAACGGGUGAGUAACACGUGAGUAACCUGCCCUUGACUUUGGGAUAACUUCAGGAAACUGGGGCUAAUACCGGAUAGGAGCUCCUGCUGCAUGGUGGGGGUUGGAAAGUUUCGGCGGUUGGGGAUGGACUCGCGGCUUAUCAGCUUGUUGGUGGGGUAGUGGCUUACCAAGGCUUUGACGGGUAGCCGGCCUGAGAGGGUGACCGGCCACAUUGGGACUGAGAUACGGCCCAGACUCCUACGGGAGGCAGCAGUGGGGAAUAUUGCACAAUGGGCGGAAGCCUGAUGCAGCAACGCCGCGUGCGGGAUGACGGCCUUCGGGUUGUAAACCGCUUUCGCCUGUGACGAAGCGUGAGUGACGGUAAUGGGUAAAGAAGCACCGGCUAACUACGUGCCAGCAGCCGCGGUGAUACGUAGGGUGCGAGCGUUGUCCGGAUUUAUUGGGCGUAAAGGGCUCGUAGGUGGUUGAUCGCGUCGGAAGUGUAAUCUUGGGGCUUAACCCUGAGCGUGCUUUCGAUACGGGUUGACUUGAGGAAGGUAGGGGAGAAUGGAAUUCCUGGUGGAGCGGUGGAAUGCGCAGAUAUCAGGAGGAACACCAGUGGCGAAGGCGGUUCUCUGGGCCUUUCCUGACGCUGAGGAGCGAAAGCGUGGGGAGCGAACAGGCUUAGAUACCCUGGUAGUCCACGCUGUAAACGGUGGGUGCUAGGUGUGGGGUCCAUUCCACGGGUUCCGUGCCGUAGCUAACGCUUUAAGUACCCCGCCUGGGGAGUACGGCCGCAAGGCUAAAACUCAAAGGAAUUGACGGGGCCCCGCACAAGCGGCGGAGCAUGCGGAUUAAUUCGAUGCAACGCGUAGAACCUUACCUGGGUUUGACAUGGAUCGGGAGUGCUCAGAGAUGGGUGUGCCUCUUUUGGGGUCGGUUCACAGGUGGUGCAUGGCUGUCGUCAGCUCGUGUCGUGAGAUGUUGGGUUAAGUCCCGCAACGAGCGCAACCCUUGUUCACUGUUGCCAGCACGUUAUGGUGGGGACUCAGUGGAGACCGCCGGGGUCAACUCGGAGGAAGGUGGGGAUGACGUCAAGUCAUCAUGCCCCUUAUGUCCAGGGCUUCACGCAUGCUACAAUGGCUGGUACAGAGAGUGGCGAGCCUGUGAGGGUGAGCGAAUCUCGGAAAGCCGGUCUCAGUUCGGAUUGGGGUCUGCAACUCGACCUCAUGAAGUCGGAGUCGCUAGUAAUCGCAGAUCAGCAACGCUGCGGUGAAUACGUACCCGGGGCUUGUACACACCGCCCGUCAAGUCAUGAAAGUUGGUAACACCCGAAGCCGGUGGCCUAACCGUUGUGGGGGAGCCGUCGAAGGUGGGACUGGUGAUUAGGACU